Molecule: small RNA, 28 nt
Filed under: Bombyx mori (domestic silkworm)
Lineage: Eukaryota; Metazoa; Arthropoda; Insecta; Lepidoptera; Bombycidae
Description: ovarian small RNA-36355
Source: RNAcentral
UUAAGAGUGGAGGACUAUUUUACGAAAC